RNAcentral lists this ribosomal RNA (406 nucleotides) under uncultured bacterium. RNAcentral describes it as "partial 16S ribosomal RNA". It matches the Rfam family "Bacterial small subunit ribosomal RNA", at positions 28 to 526 of the family's 1533-position model. The record is from RNAcentral.
GACGAACGCUGGCGGCGUGCUUAACACAUGCAAGUCGAACGAGUGGCGAACGGGUGAGUAAUACGUGGGUAACCUGCCCUCUUUUUGGGAUAAGCCUUGGAAACGGGGUCUAAUACCGAAUAAAGGGGGAUGGGCUCGCGGCCUAUCAGCUUGUUGGUGGGGUGAUGGCCUACCACGGCGGUGACGGGUAGCCGGCCUGAGAGGGUGACGGGCCAGAGUGGGACUGAGAUACGGCCCGGGAUCCUACGGGAGGCAGCAGUGGGGGAUAGUGCAAAAUGGGCGAAAGCCUGAGGCAGCGACGCCGGGUGGGGGAGGAAGUGUGUCGGGUUGUAGUCCGCUAUCGCUAUCGAACCGGUAGGUGGAGAAGAAGCGCCGGCUAACUACGUGCCAGCAGCCGCGGUAAUAC